This 82-nucleotide transfer RNA is filed under the name Rhipicephalus microplus (southern cattle tick). RNAcentral describes it as "tRNA-Ser". It matches the Rfam family "tRNA". From Rfam's summary of the family: Transfer RNA (tRNA) molecules are approximately 80 nucleotides in length. Their secondary structure includes four short double-helical elements and three loops (D, anti-codon, and T loops). Lineage: Eukaryota; Metazoa; Arthropoda; Arachnida; Ixodida; Ixodidae. The record is from Rfam by way of RNAcentral.
GCAGUCGUGGCCGAGUGGUUAAGGCGAUAGUCUUGAAAACAAUUGGGUUCAUUCCACGCAGGUUCGAACCCUGCCGACUGCG